GAUGAACGCUGGCGGCGUGCCUAAUACAUGCAAGUCGAGCGAACGGACGAGAAGCUUGCUUCUCUGAUGUUAGCGGCGGACGGGUGAGUAACACGUGGAUAACCUACCUAUAAGACUGGGAUAACUUCGGGAAACCGGAGCUAAUACCGGAUAAUAUUUUGAACCGCAUGGUUCAAAAGUGAAAGACGGUCUUGCUGUCACUUAUAGAUGGAUCCGCGCUGCAUUAGCUAGUUGGUAAGGUAACGGCUUACCAAGGCAACGAUGCAUAGCCGACCUGAGAGGGUGAUCGGCCACACUGGAACUGAGACACGGUCCAGACUCCUACGGGAGGCAGCAGUAGGGAAUCUUCCGCAAUGGGCGAAAGCCUGACGGAGCAACGCCGCGUGAGUGAUGAAGGUCUUCGGAUCGUAAAACUCUGUUAUUAGGGAAGAACAUAUGUGUAAGUAACUGUGCACAUCUUGACGGUACCUAAUCAGAAAGCCACGGCUAACUACGUGCCAGCAGCCGCGGUAAUACGUAGGUGGCAAGCGUUAUCCGGAAUUAUUGGGCGUAAAGCGCGCGUAGGCGGUUUUUUAAGUCUGAUGUGAAAGCCCACGGCUCAACCGUGGAGGGUCAUUGGAAACUGGAAAACUUGAGUGCAGAAGAGGAAAGUGGAAUUCCAUGUGUAGCGGUGAAAUGCGCAGAGAUAUGGAGGAACACCAGUGGCGAAGGCGACUUUCUGGUCUGCAACUGACGCUGAUGUGCGAAAGCGUGGGGAUCAAACAGGAUUAGAUACCCUGGUAGUCCACGCCGUAAACGAUGAGUGCUAAGUGUUAGGGGGUUUCCGCCCCUUAGUGCUGCAGCUAACGCAUUAAGCACUCCGCCUGGGGAGUACGACCGCAAGGUUGAAACUCAAAGGAAUUGACGGGGACCCGCACAAGCGGUGGAGCAUGUGGUUUAAUUCGAAGCAACGCGAAGGACCUUACCAAAUCUUGACAUCCUUUGACAACUCUAGAGAUAGAGCUUUCCCCUUCGGGGGACAAAGUGACAGGUGGUGCAUGGUUGUCGUCAGCUCGUGUCGUGAGAUGUUGGGUUAAGUCCCGCAACGAGCGCAACCCUUAAGCUUAGUUGCCAUCAUUAAGUUGGGCACUCUAAGUUGACUGCCGGUGACAAACCGGAGGAAGGUGGGGAUGACGUCAAAUCAUCAUGCCCCUUAUGAUUUGGGCUACACACGUGCUACAAUGGACAAUACAAAGGGCAGCGAAACCGCGAGGUCAAGCAAAUCCCAUAAAGUUGUUCUCAGUUCGGAUUGUAGUCUGCAACUCGACUACAUGAAGCUGGAAUCGCUAGUAAUCGUAGAUCAGCAUGCUACGGUGAAUACGUUCCCGGGUCU
This 1372-nucleotide ribosomal RNA is filed under the name uncultured bacterium. Its description in RNAcentral is "bacterial SSU rRNA". It matches the Rfam family "Bacterial small subunit ribosomal RNA", at positions 28 to 1381 of the family's 1533-position model. The record is from RNAcentral.